GACGAACGCUGGCGGCGUGCUUAACACAUGCAAGUCGAACGGAAAGGCCCUGCUUUUGUGGGUUGCUCGAGUGGCGAACGGGUGAUUAACACGUGAUUAACCUGCCCUUGACUUUGGGUUAACUUCAGGAAACUGGGGCUAAUACCGGAUAGGAGCUCCUGCUGCAUGGUGGGGGUUGGAAAGUUUCGGCGGUUGGGGAUGGACUCGCGGCUUAUCAGCUUGUUGGUGGGGUAGUGGCUUACCAAGGCUUUGACGGGUAGCCGGCCUGAGAGGGUGACCGGCCACAUUGGGACUGAGAUACGGCCCAGACUCCUACGGGAGGCAGCAGUGGGGAAUAUUGCACAAUGGGCGGAAGCCUGAUGCAGCAACGCCGCGUGCGGGAUGACGGCCUUCGGGUUGUAAACCGCUUUCGCCUGUGACGAAGCGUGAGUGACGGUAAUGGGUAAAGAAGCACCGGCUAACUACGUG
This 468-nucleotide ribosomal RNA is filed under the name uncultured bacterium. RNAcentral's name for it is "partial 16S ribosomal RNA". It matches the Rfam family "Bacterial small subunit ribosomal RNA", at positions 28 to 507 of the family's 1533-position model. The record is from RNAcentral.